CGGGGCGUCACGGGCGGGCAGCGGUUAAAGCGCGGGAGGGGCGGCGAUAGCACCGGCUGCGGGAGGGCGCGAUGGAGCGGGUGGUGCUCGUGACCGGUGCCAGCAGCGGCGUGGGCUUGGCGUUGUGCCGGCGGCUGCUGGAGGAGGAUGGCCGUAUCCAUCUCUGUAUCGCCUGCCGCAACUCCCAGAAGAGCGAAGCCACGCGAGACCUCAUCCUGGAAACCCACCCGGCCGCACAGGUCUCUACUGUGGAAGUUGACCUGGGCAGCCUGGCUUCCGUGCUGCGUGUUGCCCGUGAGCUCCGCUGCAGGUUUCAACGCCUGGACUUUGUCUACCUCAAUGCUGGGAUCAUGCCCAACCCGCACGUGAACUUCAAGGCACUCUGGCAUGGUCUUCUCACUGGGAAGUUACUUCACAUGCUGACCACUGCAGAAGGCAUAAUGACCCAGACGGACAGGCUGAAUGGAGAUGGACUUCAGGAGGUGUUUGCCACCAACCUCUUUGGACACUUUAUUCUGGUUCGUCAACUUGAGUCUCUACUCUGCGGUAACGAAAAGCCUUCACGACUCAUCUGGACCUCUUCCAGCAAUGCUAGGGAGUCUGCCUUCAGCCUCUCUGACUAUCAGCAUGCCAAGGGGCAGGAAUCAUACAGUUCCUCCAAAUAUGCUACUGACCUGACAAGUGUGGUUCUGAACAGGAAAUUUAAUAAGCAGGGUCUGUAUUCCAGUGUUGUUUGUCCUGGUCUUGUUAUGUCUAAUAUGACCUACAGAAUUUUACCAGUUUUUCUGUGGAAGCUGCUAAUGCCCAUCAUGUGGUUGGGUCUGCUGGUCUGAACAAAGAUCCUCUCAACGAGGCUGGUGGGUGGGUGGUGUAUUUCAGCCCUGAAUAGCAUACAGCAGUGAGUGCUGGGGGACCAGCUACGACUGGGGCUGAUCUGCCAGGUGAUGCUUUAUGACCUUCAUAAAAAUAAAUUAUUUUGGAAAAACACUCUUCCUUCCCUCUCAGUCAGGGAGAAUGCUGCUCUCCCUGAUGGCAGUCAAGCAGCUGCAGACAUGCAUGCUUGAUGGAGGCAGGUAGCAGUGUGCCUCAAGUGCAGUAGUGAGUAAGUUUAGCCAUGUUGAACUGCUUUAGUGGUUUAGCACUGGGACAUAACAUGUUUUACUGUUGGCUUGGGCAGGUCACAGCUGAGGGGAGCCAGCUCAGAAGUACUUCUCUAAAUACGAAGUCUUCCCUUGCUUGGUGAAAGCACCUGUGAUGUGUUCUCCUCAGUCCAUUGGCACUUGGGUCCUUGACUGCAGGCUUGGUUGGGACAGUGUGUGCUGGACUUGUACAUGUUUGGGCUGUUCUUCCUAGGUGUGGCUUUUCAAACAGAAGCCAGAGCACCUGGAUGCACUUGUCAAAUACCACAGCUGUACUUCUGGACUGGGGAAGAGCUACGUGGAGCCCAGAAAGUUUGAUGUGGAUGAAGAAACUGCUGAGAAACUUUAUGGAAAGCUCUUGGAACUGGAGAAGCAGACUCUAGAGAGAUACAGUGAUCUUCUAGAUUAAGUAAAGCCAGCCUCAGUGGGAUAACAGUCUCAGAUAGGUAAUAUGGGCUUUCUUCAUUCUGGUGCUGCUUGUGUUGCCUGCUGUUCUGCAGGCAUGUGGCUUCAGACCCCAUCUUCCUUCUCAGCAGAAGGUGAACAAUUCCUGAAAAUGGAAAUGUGAAAACUGAAGAGAAAAAACUUAAUCUUUUUGGUAUGGUAUUUUUUUUUCUAGCAUGAAACUGGAGACCUAGAGUAGGUGGAGACUGUCUUGACACACUUGCAAAUAAGUGUCUUGCAAAAGCAUGACUGAACUGCGCAAAGUUUGGGAACAGCCUCAAAACAUGUGGUUUAAAUGUGGCUUAGCACAUGAAAGGCAACAAUCUGGGGUUCUGCGCUGUGUUUUGGCUCUACACACAUUACCUGUGGCUGAUCCUGAAGUACUUGAAGGCUCAUCUUCAGAAGAGCUGCUCUUAUACUUGUACAACAAAGCUGGGGCCAGCUUUCCGGAUAUGCUCACCAAGACUGAACCUUACUGGAAGUCAGGCUCUGCACAGCAUGUGAAGCCAAGCUCCUGAAGAACUGCCCUGAGAAGAGCACCCAUUGCCUCAGUUGUGAGAAUAGAUGCCUUGCUGUCCCCUGGGUGUGGGGCCGUAAAGGUUCUAACCACAACUGACUGCAGAGACUGAAGCUGUUGAUGUUAACCUGCGCUCAGGGCUAAUCUGCCCUGUUUGUAGCAAGAGUGAGAGGUUAUGUUAUUUUAUGUAUUCAGAUCUUUUUAUAUAAAUUUACUGUACCAACUAUUCUUCCUGUUGCCUAUCCUGGGGAGCUUCAAGUACCUGGUGUACUUCAAAUUCUGCUACGAAUAAAUGAUUGGAACUGA
Strigops habroptila (Kakapo) is the source of this 2406-nucleotide RNA transcript. It is a transcript of the gene named hydroxysteroid 17-beta dehydrogenase 7, with no coding region annotated. The transcript has 8 exons. The record is from RefSeq and is a predicted model, not a curated record. NCBI's taxonomy places the organism in Eukaryota, Metazoa, Chordata, Aves, Psittaciformes, Psittacidae.